RNAcentral lists this ribosomal RNA (810 nucleotides) under uncultured bacterium. RNAcentral's name for it is "bacterial SSU rRNA". It matches the Rfam family "Bacterial small subunit ribosomal RNA", at positions 261 to 1064 of the family's 1533-position model. The record is from RNAcentral.
AGUUUGAUCCUGGCUUCCGUAGCUGGUCUGAGAGGACGACCAGCCACACUGGGACUGAGACACGGCCCAGACUCCUACGGGAGGCAGCAGUGGGGAAUAUUGGACAAUGGGCGCAAGCCUGAUCCAGCAAUGCCGCGUGUGUGAAGAAGGCCUUCGGGUUGUAAAGCACUUUCAGCAGGGAGGAAAAGCUUCGGGUUAAUACCUCGGAGUCUUGACGUUACUUGCAGAAGAAGCACCGGCUAACUCUGUGCCAGCAGCCGCGGUAAUACAGAGGGUGCAAGCGUUAAUCGGAAUUACUGGGCGUAAAGGGCGCGUAGGUGGUUUGAUAAGUCGGAUGUGAAAUCCCCGGGCUUAACCUGGGAACUGCAUUCGAAACUAUUUGACUAGAGUUUGAGAGAGGGAAGUGGAAUUCCACAUGUAGCGGUGAAAUGCGUGGAUAUGUGGAGGAACAUCAGUGGCGAAGGCGGCUUCCUGGCUUAAAACUGACACUGAGGCGCGAAAGCGUGGGUAGCAAACAGGAUUAGAUACCCUGGUAGUCCACGCCCUAAACGAUGUCAACUGGUUGUUGGGAGAGUGAAAUCUCUUAGUAACGAAGCUAACGCGUGAAGUUGACCGCCUGGGGAGUACGGUCGCAAGAUUAAAACUCAAAGGAAUUGACGGGGACCCGCACAAGCGGUGGAUGAUGUGGAUUAAUUCGAUGCAACGCGAAAAACCUUACCUACCCUUGACAUGUCCAGAAUCCUGCAGAGAUGUGGGAGUGCCCGAAAGGGAAUUGGAACACAGGUGCUGCAUGGCUGUCGUCAGCUCGUG